UGGUUAAACAAGGAAGGGCGCACGGUGGAUGCCUUGGCACUAGGCGCCGAUGAAGGACGGGACGAACACCGAUAUGCUUCGGGGAGCUGUAAGUAUGCUUGGAUCCGGAGAUGUCCGAAUGGGGGAACCCCUUCUCCGUCAUGGGAGAAGAUCAUCUGCCCAACUAAUUAAGCAGAUGAAGGCAGACCCGGCGAACUGAAACAUCUUAGUAGCCGGAGGAAGAGAAAGCAAACGCGAUUUCCUGAGUAGCGGCGAGCGAAACGGAAGCGAGCCCAAACCGGACGGCUUGCCGUCCGGGGUUGAAGGACACGCCAUACGGAGUGACAAAGGGGCGGCGUAGCGGAAGCGGCUUGGAACGGUCCGCCAUAGCAGGUAAGAGCCCUGUACGCGAAACGCUGCCCUCUCCGGCGUGGAUCCUGAGUACGGCGGGACACGAGAAACCCCGUCGGAAGCAGGGAGGCCCAUCUCCCAAGGCUAAAUACGACCUAGUGACCGAUAGUGAACCAGUACCGUGAGGGAAAGGUGAAAAGCACCCCGGGAGGGGAGUGAAAGAGAACCUGAAACCGUGUGCCUACAGGUGGUCAGAGCCCGUUCAUGGGUGAUGGCGUGCCUUUUGUAGAAUGAACCGGCGAGUGACGAUGGCGUGCGAGGUUAAGUUGAAGAGACGGAGCCGCAGCGAAAGCGAGUCUGAAGUGGGCGCGAAGUACGUCGACGUCGACCCGAAACCGUGUGAUCUACCCAUGUCCAGGGUGAAGGUCGGGUAACACCGACUGGAGGCCCGAACCCACGUAAGUUGAAAAUUACGGGGAUGAGGGGUGGGUAGGGGUGAAAUGCCAAUCGAACACGGAGAUAGCUGGUUCUCCCCGAAAUAGCUUUAGGGCUAGCCUCGGAGGAAGAGUCCUGGAGGUAGAGCACGGAUUGGAUGAGGGGUCCCCACAGGAUUACCGAGUUCAGUCAAACUCCGAAUGCCAGCGACUUGGUUUCCGGGAGUCAGACGGCGAGUGCUAAGAUCCGUCGUCAAGAGGGAAACAGCCCGGACCACCGGCUAAGGUCCCCAAGUAUGGAUUAAGUGGGAAAGGAUGUGGCGUUGCUUAGACAACCAGGAUGUUGGCUUAGAAGCAGCCAUCAUUGAAAGAGUGCGUAAUAGCUCACUGGUCGAGUGACGCUGCGCCGAAAAUGUACCGGGGCUAAAUCCAUCACCGAAGCCGUGGAUGUUAGAGGUGGGAAGUGAGACGUGAGAAGUGGGAAAAGGAGAUAAAGAUGAUUAAAACGUAUCGAGAUUUAAGGGUAUAUGAACUAUCAUACAAUCUCGGGAAAGAUAUUCAUCAAGUGACUCAUCAAUUCCCUGAUUAUGAAAGGUUUGAGUUAGGAAGACAGCUAAGAAGAGCUUCCACAUCGAUCCCUUUAAAUUUGGCCGAGGGAUAUGGAAAAAAGGAAUCUACGGCUGAUUUUAAGCGAUUUAUAUUGAUUGCUUUAGGGUCAUGUAAUGAGGUCCAAGUUUUACUCGAAUACGCAAGGGAUUUUGCUUAUAUGUCCAAUGAUAGUUUCGAGAGACUAUGGGAUCAAUACGAACAACUAGGCAAACAACUGUCUGUUCUUCAUCAAAAGUGGAAGUAGUUGGUUUUGAAUUUCUCACACCUCUCACAUCUGACCUCUCACCUCUAGCAUGGUAGGGGAGCGUUCGGUGUGCCGGGAAGGCCGACCGUGAGGACGGCUGGAGCGCACCGAAGUGAGAAUGCCGGUAUGAGUAGCGAAAAGAAGGGUGAGAAUCCCUUCCGUCGAAAACCUAAGGUUUCCUGAGGAAGGCUCGUCCGCUCAGGGUUAGUCGGGACCUAAGCCGAGGCCGAAAGGCGUAGGCGAUGGAUAACUGGUGGAAAUUCCAGUACCACCGAUGGCUGUCAGACCGAAGGGGGGACGCAGAAAGGUAGGGCGAGCGCGCUGAUGGAGAAGCGCGUCGAAGCGACCGAGGCUGUUGGGCAGGCAAAUCCGCCCAACGUGAAGGCUGAGGCGUGACCGCGAGGGAAAUGAAGUACCGAAGUCCCCGAUCCUCCGCUGCCGAGAAAAGCCUCUAGGAAGGGCAUCGGUGCCCGUACCGCAAACCGACACAGGUAGGUGGGAUGAGAAUUCUAAGACGCGCGGGAGAACUCUCGUUAAGGAACUCGGCAAAAUGACCCCGUAACUUCGGGAGAAGGGGUGCUCCUUGGGGUUGAUAGCCCCGGGGAGCCGCAGUGACAAGGCCCAAGCGACUGUUUACCAAAAACACAGGUCUCUGCGAAGUCGAAAGACGAAGUAUAGGGGCUGACACCUGCCCGGUGCUGGAAGGUUAAGAGGAGGGCUUAGCGCUUAGGCGCGAAGGUCCGAAUUGAAGCCCCAGUAAACGGCGGCCGUAACUAUAACGGUCCUAAGGUAGCGAAAUUCCUUGUCGGGUAAGUUCCGACCCGCACGAAAGGUGCAACGACUUGGGCACUGUCUCAACGAGAGACCCGGUGAAAUUAUAUGACCUGUGAAGAUGCAGGUCCCCCGCGACUGGACGGAAAGACCCCAUGGAGCUUUACUGUAGCUUGAUAUUGGGUUUUCGUAUCGCUUGUACAGGAUAGGCAGGAGCCAAGGAACCCGGAGCGCCAGCUUCGGAGGAGGCGCCGGUGGGAUACUGCCCUUGCGAUAUGAACAUCCUAACCUCGAACCGUGAGCCGGUUCAGGGACAGUGUCUGGUGGGCAGUUUGACUGGGGCGGUCGCCUCCCAAACAGUAACGGAGGCGCCCCAAGGUUCCCUCAGAAUGGUUGGAAAUCAUUCGCAGCGUGCAAAGGCAGAAGGGAGCUUGACUGCGAGACAGACAGGUCGAGCAGGGACGAAAGUCGGGCUUAGUGAUCCGGCGGCACCGCAUGGAAGGGCCGUCGCUCAACGGAUAAAAGCUACCCUGGGGAUAACAGGCUAAUCUCCCCCAAGAGUCCACAUCGACGGGGAGGUUUGGCACCUCGAUGUCGGCUCAUCGCAUCCUGGGGCUGAAGUCGGUCCCAAGGGUUGGGCUGUUCGCCCAUUAAAGCGGUACGCGAGCUGGGUUCAGAACGUCGUGAGACAGUUCGGUCCCUAUCCGUCGCGGGCGCAGGAAAUUUGAGAGGAGCUGUCCUUAGUACGAGAGGACCGGGAUGGACACACCGCUGGUGUACCAGUUGUUCCGCCAGGAGCAUGGCUGGGUAGCUACGUGUGGAUCGGAUAAGUGCUGAAAGCAUCUAAGCACGAAGCCGGCCUCAAGAUGAGAUUUCCCGAGAGACCCCUUAAAGACGAUAAGGUAGAUAGGUCUGAGGUGGACGCGUGGCGACACGUGGAGCUGACAGAUACUAAUCGGUCCAACGGUUUAUCCAC
RNAcentral lists this ribosomal RNA (3364 nucleotides) under Salicibibacter halophilus. RNAcentral describes it as "23S ribosomal RNA". It matches the Rfam family "Bacterial large subunit ribosomal RNA". The record is from RNAcentral. Lineage: Bacteria; Bacillati; Bacillota; Bacilli; Caryophanales; Bacillaceae.